Molecule: RNA transcript, 1985 nt
Organism: Carica papaya (papaya)
Lineage: Eukaryota; Viridiplantae; Streptophyta; Magnoliopsida; Brassicales; Caricaceae
Gene name: Pseudouridine synthase family protein
Source: RefSeq, a predicted model, not a curated record
ACGGAAAGGAUAAAAGAGCUUCUGCUUAGGGGAGAAUGCUCUCUCCCAACCCUGUCUAUGGUUGCUCUGUUCCCUCCACGAAAGCACUUCAGUUCUCAACUUCUCUUCUCUUCUUUCGUCGAAGCCAUGCUAUAUCUCCCUCUAGGGUUUUGAGAAUCCUCAGAGGUAGUUCGGGUCCUAGUGGGGAAUCCGGUGCCGAUAGGAACCGAGAAUCUUACGCUGGAAAAAGAACCAAUUACGGAGGCCUAAAGCUUGAAGAGACUGUUGAUAUCAGGUCUGGCAAGCUCAGGCUCGAUUCGUGGAUUUUCUCUCGCAUUCAGGGCAUCAGCAGAGCUCGCGUGCAGUCCAGCAUUCGGUCGGGACUCGUUAGUGUCAACGGCCGUAUUGUUGAUAAGGUUGCGCACAAUGUCAAAGCUGGAGAUAAGGUCAAUUGCACAAUUUCAGAGUUGCAGCCCUUGAGGGCAGAACCUGAGGACAUUCCUUUGGAUAUAAUUUAUGAGGAUGAGCAUCUUUUAGUUGUUAAUAAGCCUGCACACAUGGUUGUUCAUCCUGCACCUGGGAAUCCUUCUGGAACACUCGUUAAUGGGAUUCUUCACCAUUGCAGACUUCCAACAAUCACCAAUAAGGACCACGAAGAUGAUUCUGAUGUAGAUGAUGUUUCUGAUGAUGAAGGCCUUUGUUCUAGCAUUGAUAGAAUGUCUGUUCGCCCUGGAAUUGUGCACAGACUCGACAAAGGAACUAGUGGAUUGCUUGUUGUAGCAAAGGAUGAGCAUGCUCACACCCAUCUAUCUGAACAAUUCAAGCAGCAUAGCAUCAGAAGAGUGUAUAUCAGUAUUACUUCUGGAGUGCCUUCCCCGCAUUCAGGACGUAUCGACAUUCCUAUAGGGCGUGAUUUAAAUAACAGAAUUCGCAUGGUUGCUAUGCCUGGAUCAAUAACCCGUGGGCUUGCUCGCCAUGCUAUUAGUAGGUACAAAGUAAUUGAAAUACUUGCUGGGGGUGGUUCUGCACUGGUUGAGUGGAGACUGGAAACUGGCCGCACACAUCAGAUCCGUGCACACGCUAAGUACAUGGGAAUUCCUCUACUUGGUGAUGAGGUGUAUGGAGGCACAAAGAGCAUGGCCUUGUCACUGCUUCGGCCAAGAACGCCCCCUGGUUAUCACGACCAACUUUCAGAACUGGUUUCUGGACUAGAGAGGCCUUGUCUUCAUGCUUUAGCCCUUGGUUUCAAGCAUCCACAUACAGGAGAGAAUAUGAACUUUUCACGCCCACCACCGGCAGAUUUCACUGAGAUAUUGUAUCAGUUCCGUAAGGUUGGCUCAGAGAAGCUUUUGUCCAAGGAACAAUGAGGUUUCUUAUAACAAGCUUGGGAUGUCAAGAUCAUAGACAGAAACAGGAAAACAGAAAACGACAACAAACUCCAAAUUCACACUAGGAGAAGAUUUCAUCAGCAAGGAAGAUAUCGUGAUAAUCAAAAGAAGAUUUAUGAGUUUCAAAGGCAUUUCACCAUAAAAGCCUUCACUGGUUUCUGAUGGAAUACUUGUCAACAAAAGGGAGGAUCCGAUCUACUGAAGUGAUAAUUUGAUUUCCUGUUGAAGAUGCUUUCUGGAUGUGCAUCUGGAUUCUAUCCUUCUCUUACUAAAUUAAGUAUGAGGUACGAAAUGGGGCUGUCUGAUCGGGCUUUGGGAUGAAUUGUCAACUGUGGGCGUUCCAGUUUUUCUUUCCAAAAUUGACUCAAGAGGAUAUCAAGACGCACACACACACACAGCCGUCCCAUAUUUACGAAUUACGAGAGGGACUCUGACUGGGCAAGCUGAGAUAGUUGGCCCAGCUACUCUGCACCCGGCCGUCCCAUGUUUAUGAAUUACAAGGCGGACUCAGCCCCGCCCAUAAGCUAUUCUUACUCCAUGUGAAAUUACAAUGUAAGUUCACUAUCUGUAAAUAGAGUAAACGCUGUUUUUGUUUAUAAUUCCAAAUUAGGCACAAAA